GAUGAACGCUGGCGGCGUGCUUAACACAUGCAAGUCGAACGAUGAAGCUCAGCUUGCUGGGUGGAUUAGUGGCGAACGGGUGAGUAACACGUGAGUAACCUGCCCUUAACUCUGGGAUAAGCCUGGGAAACUAGGUCUAAUACCGGAUAGGAGCGCCUACCGCAUGGUUGGUGUUGGAAAGAUUUAUCGGUUUUGGAUGGACUCGCGGCCUAUCAGCUUGUUGGUGAGGUAAUGGCUCACCAAGGCGACGACGGGUAGCCGGCCUGAGAGGGUGACCGGCCACACUGGGACUGAGACACGGCCCAGACUCCUACGGGAGGCAGCAGUGGGGAAUAUUGCACAAUGGGCGAAAGCCUGAUGCAGCGACGCCGCGUGAGGGAUGACGGCCUUCGGGUUGUAAACCUCUUUCAGUAGGGAAGAAGCGAAAGUGACGGUACCUGCAGAAGAAGCACCGGCUAACUACGUG
This 466-nucleotide ribosomal RNA is filed under the name uncultured bacterium. RNAcentral's name for it is "partial 16S ribosomal RNA". It matches the Rfam family "Bacterial small subunit ribosomal RNA", at positions 28 to 507 of the family's 1533-position model. The record is from RNAcentral.